Molecule: ribosomal RNA, 455 nt
Filed under: Hydrovatus otiosus
Lineage: Eukaryota; Metazoa; Arthropoda; Insecta; Coleoptera; Dytiscidae
Description: partial 16S ribosomal RNA
Rfam family: Archaeal large subunit ribosomal RNA
Source: RNAcentral
AACAAAAACAUGUCUUUUUGGAAAUAAUUUAAAGUUUAACCUGCCCAAUGAGUUUUUUAAUGGCCGCAGUAAAUUGACUGUGCAAAGGUAGCAUAAUCAUUAGUUUUUUAAUUAAAAGCUGGAAUGAAUGGUUGGACGAGAUAUAGACUGUCUUAAAUUAAAUAUUAGAAUUUAAUUAUUUAGUAAAAAAGCUAAAAUAAUAGUAAAAGACGAGAAGACCCUAUAGAUCUUUAUAAUUAAUUUAUUAAAAUUAGUAAAGAAAAUUAAAUGAUUUAAUAAGUUAAUUAUUUUAUUGGGGUAAUAAUAAGAUUAAAUAAAUUCUUUUAAAAUAAACAUUAAUUAAUGAUUAAAAUUUGAUCCUUAGUUUGGAUAGUAAGAUUAAGUUACCUUAGGGAUAACAGCGUAAUUUUUUUAGAGAGUUCUUAUCGAUAAAAGAGUUUGCGACCUCGAUGUUG